Molecule: ribosomal RNA, 261 nt
Filed under: uncultured prokaryote
Description: partial 16S ribosomal RNA
Rfam family: Bacterial small subunit ribosomal RNA
Source: RNAcentral
UACGUAGGGUGCGAGCGUUGUCCGGAAUUACUGGGCGUAAAGAGCUUGUAGGCGGUUUGUCGCGUCUGCUGUGAAAAUCCGGGACUCAACCCCGGACUUGCAGUGGGUACGGGCAGACUAGAGUGUGGUAGGGGAGACUGGAAUUCCUGGUGUAGCGGUGAAAUGCGCAGAUAUCAGGAGGAACACCGAUGGCGAAGGCAGGUCUCUGGGCCACUACUGACGCUGAGAAGCGAAAGCAUGGGGAGCGAACAGGAUUAGAUA